Molecule: long non-coding RNA, 743 nt
Organism: Brassica napus (rape)
Lineage: Eukaryota; Viridiplantae; Streptophyta; Magnoliopsida; Brassicales; Brassicaceae
Exons: 2
Source: RefSeq, a predicted model, not a curated record
AUAUUAAGCUAUAAGACAUGUCAUCAAUUUCAGUAGCCAUGUCAUAUUUGUUUUGUGAAAUUGAUUAUAGAAAAGACAUGUGGCAAAACCACUUCGCAGAUAUAAUCUAGGGGAUAAAUUAACUUAAUUUUGUAAGCAUACAUACUCUGAUAUUUUAUGUUAAUUAAUUAACAAGAUUAAAUGGUGACUAGGGGGUGAUAUGUUCGGGAGUGGCGUAUUACGUGCAAGGAGUAGUGAUGAGAGAAAGAGGACCAGUUUUCGUUGCGACAUUUAAUCCUCUUUGUGUCGUUAUAACUGCAGCUCUUGGUGUUGUUGUCUUGUCUGAAAGUAUUCAUCUCGGAAGUGUGAUUGGGACGAUAUUUAUAAUCGCGGGCCUAUAACGGUAAAGGCAAAGAUAAGAGAAUGACUGAAGAUGACGAAAUUAGCAAAAGGCUUCCGGUUAAGAGUCCGGUGGAGAACCGGAGAUGAAAACAAAGCAAGGUCAGGAGACCAAUAAGGCUACUGAACUUGAAAUUUGAAGACACUUGCAAAGAGAAUCUGUGGGUUUUUUCUCAAUAUUUAGUUUUAUGUUUUGUUUCCUUUUCUUUUUAAUUUGCAUUCCGCUGGUUAGAAAAAGAUUGUGGGAGAUUAGGGGAUGUAACUGAUGAGAUGAACUAAAUCAUCAUCAUAUAGGUUUUAACUUGAACGUUUUUGUGAGAUACUCAAUUCAAAAUAAUCAAUAGUCGCUCAUCCAGAGUUUUAAA